RNAcentral lists this non-coding RNA (27 nucleotides) under Homo sapiens (human). Lineage: Eukaryota; Metazoa; Chordata; Mammalia; Primates; Hominidae. The record is from RNAcentral.
UGUGGCCAAGCAAGGUACCUGAUGAGC